RNAcentral lists this ribosomal RNA (482 nucleotides) under uncultured bacterium. RNAcentral's name for it is "bacterial SSU rRNA". It matches the Rfam family "Bacterial small subunit ribosomal RNA", at positions 41 to 507 of the family's 1533-position model. The record is from RNAcentral.
GGCAUGCCUAAUACAUGCAAGUCGAACGAAUGAAGGAGUGCUUGCACUCCGGAUUUAGUGGCGAACGGGUGAGUAACACGUAGGCAACCUGCCCAAGAGACGGGGACAACAGUUGGAAAGACUGCUAAUACCGGAUAGGAUAUUUCUUUGUCAUGAAGAAAUAUUUUAAAGAUGCGUAUGCAUCACUCUUGGAUGGGCCUGCGUCGCAUUAGCUAGUUGGUAAGGUAAUGGCUUACCAAGGCGACGAUGCGUAGCCGAGCUGAGAGGCUGAUCGGCCACACUGGAACUGAGACACGGUCCAGACUCCUACGGGAGGCAGCAGUAGGGAAUAUUCCACAAUGGGCGAAAGCCUGAUGGAGCAAUGCCGCGUGUGUGAUGAAGGCCUUCGGGUUGUAAAGCACUGUUGUAAGGGAAGAAUUACCAGAGUAGGAAAUGGCUCUGGGGUGACGGUACCUUACCAGAAAGCCACGGCUAACUACGUG